Molecule: long non-coding RNA, 233 nt
Filed under: Lathyrus oleraceus (garden pea)
Lineage: Eukaryota; Viridiplantae; Streptophyta; Magnoliopsida; Fabales; Fabaceae
Description: Pisum sativum (pea) long non-coding RNA (PSAT_LNC035604)
Source: RNAcentral
UUAUGACCAAUUUGAUGAAAAUACUAAGUAACGAACCUUUGUCGUCCCUUUAUAAAGUAACAAUGGUCAAUACAUUGUCAACUCAACAAUCUACAUUAAACAUUAAUGAUUUGUAUGGAACUCUCACUCCAAUCAAAACAUGAAUGUCACAACUCUUCAUCUUGGAUGCAAAAUGCUGAAAUUUAAACUUAACAUAUUGCAAAUAAUGAUAAUGAAAACAAGAGCAUUAAAAU